RNAcentral lists this transfer RNA (68 nucleotides) under Afrogecko porphyreus. Its description in RNAcentral is "tRNA-Trp". It matches the Rfam family "tRNA". From Rfam's summary of the family: Transfer RNA (tRNA) molecules are approximately 80 nucleotides in length. Their secondary structure includes four short double-helical elements and three loops (D, anti-codon, and T loops). The record is from RNAcentral. Lineage: Eukaryota; Metazoa; Chordata; Lepidosauria; Squamata; Gekkonidae.
AGAAAUUUAGGUUAAUUAAACCAAGAGCCUUCAAAGCCCUAAACAUGAGUAAUAUCUCCUAAUUUCUG